GGGCCCAUGGUCUAGUGGUUAUGACGUCUCGCUUACACCGAGAAGGUCGGGAGUUCAAUCCUCCCUGGGCCCACCA
This 76-nucleotide transfer RNA is filed under the name Promethearchaeota archaeon. RNAcentral's name for it is "Candidatus Lokiarchaeota archaeon (marine sediment metagenome) tRNA-Val". It matches the Rfam family "tRNA". Rfam says of the family: Transfer RNA (tRNA) molecules are approximately 80 nucleotides in length. Their secondary structure includes four short double-helical elements and three loops (D, anti-codon, and T loops). Further hydrogen bonds mediate the characteristic L-shaped molecular structure. tRNAs have two regions of fundamental functional importance: the anti-codon, which is responsible for specific mRNA codon recognition, and the 3' end, to which the tRNAs corresponding amino acid is attached (by aminoacyl-tRNA synthetases). tRNAs cope with the degeneracy of the genetic code in two manners: having more than one tRNA (with a specific anti-codon) for a particular amino acid; and 'wobble' base-pairing, i.e. permitting non-standard base-pairing at the 3rd anti-codon position. The record is from RNAcentral. Lineage: Archaea; Promethearchaeati; Promethearchaeota.